This is a long non-coding RNA of Coregonus clupeaformis (lake whitefish), 785 nucleotides long. RefSeq lists it as uncharacterized. The record is from RefSeq and is a predicted model, not a curated record. The transcript is spliced from 2 exons. Lineage: Eukaryota; Metazoa; Chordata; Actinopteri; Salmoniformes; Salmonidae.
GCAUCGAUCUCUUUCUUUUGUUUUUGCAAAGCAUUGUCAAGUGCCUCUGUAGCAGUUUAAUGGAUUUGAAUAAACAAACGAACCAAUUUGGAACACGAGCGCUAAAUAAAGAGGUUUGUGUACAAUAAAGAGACUGGUGGUUGGUGUCUCCUUGUGUCUUGUGUGGUCCCCCCUCUCUCCUGUCUCAUUGGUUGACCUCACUCCUGGGUCUCUCUCCUGGUAUCUUCCUCUCUUCUUCUUCCCCUCCUCUACUGUGGAUGUUGCUAUGCUCAUUUCUGUGCUAACGGGCUGCCUCUUUUGACUUGAGUUAAAAGUGGAAUGAAAGUUGUGAAGGACAAGAAUUCCUGGAAUAAUAAUAAUAAUAACUUAUUCAGUCUUUCCUUUUUUCUGCCUUCCUGAUGAUGUUUCUCUGAAUGCAAGGCGGCCUGCUCCUGCUCGUCGUAACCAGUGGUGACCUUGCCCCAAAGCAGGAUGGGAUUGGAGAUGCACUGUCCACAUACCAGCAAGAGAACCGGACCCUGUGAAGAAUCAUAAACCUUGAACACCUUAACUUUAAAUAUUCUCCAAAUAAUAGGUUUCAGAGCUGGUUAAACUCUAAAAGCCAUAACUUAGUUGAUAACAUGAAAUACAAGAGGGAGCUUUUUCCAUGGCAACUGUCAAAGAUGUACUCAUUUUACAAUAACUGAAGGCAUUUCAGGAAAAUCAGCCUCCUUUAAAUGCUUUUUUAUCAAGUGAAAUGAAAUCUCAUUGCAUAAGCUGUAAUAAAAUAUGUCUGGGAGAGAACA